RNAcentral lists this ribosomal RNA (1385 nucleotides) under metagenome. RNAcentral's name for it is "bacterial LSU rRNA". It matches the Rfam family "Bacterial large subunit ribosomal RNA", at positions 1456 to 2925 of the family's 2925-position model. The record is from RNAcentral.
UAAGUAAAGCACAGGGACGCUUCAGAAGUGUUACGCCGGGCGAUGGUAGCCCCGGUUGUAAAGGACACAAUUGAGUGGAAGGUAACAUGGAUGGAGACAAGAAAAGCUGUGUGUAUCUGGAAGGAGCCCGUACCGCAAACCGACACAGGUAGAUAGGAAGAAGAUUCUAAGGCCAGCGGGAGAAGGGUUGUUAAGGAACUCGGCAAGUUGACCCCGUAACUUCGGGAGAAGGGGUGCUUACGAAGGUAAGCCGCAGAGAAUAGGCCCAAGCGACUGUUUAGCAAAAACACAGCUCUAUGCUAAAUCGAAAGAUGACGUAUAUGGGGUGACACCUGCCCGGUGCUGGAAGGUUAAGAGGAGAUGUGAGAGCAUUGAAUUGAAGCCCCAGUAAACGGCGGCCGUAACGAUAACGGUCCUAAGGUAGCGAAAUUCCUUGUCAGGUAGGUUCUGACCCGCACGAAUGGUGUAACGAUUUGGGCACUGUCUCAACAACCUACCCGGCGAAAUUGUAGUACCGGUGAAGAUGCCGGUUACCCGCGACUAGACGGAAAGACCCCAUGGAGCUUCACUGUAGCUCAAUAUUGAAUUUUGGUAUUUCAUGUACAGGAUAGGUGGGAGACUGGGAAAUACAGGCGUCAGCUUGUAUGGAGUCACUGUUGGGAUACCACUCUUGAGGUGCUGAAAUUCUAACCUGCGUCUUUGAAUCAAGACGGGGGACAUUGUUAGGUGGGCAGUUUGACUGGGGCGGUCGCCUCCAAAAGAGUAACGGAGGCGCUCAAAGGUUCGCUCAGCAUGGACGGAAACCAUGCCAAAGAGUGCAAACGCAAAAGCGAGCCUAACUGCGAGACUGACGGGUCGAGCAGUAACGAAAGUUGGAGUUAGUGAUCCGGCGGUAUGUGAGUGGAAAUGCCGUCGCUCAACGGAUAAAAGCUACCCUGGGGAUAACAGGCUGAUCUCCCCCAAGAGUCCACAUCGACGGGGAGGUUUGGCACCUCGAUGUCGGCUCAUCGCAUCCUGGGGCUGAAUUCGGUCCCAAGGGUUUGGCUGUUCGCCAAUUAAAGCGGUACGCGAGCUGGGUUCAGAACGUCGUGAGACAGUUCGGUCCCUAUCUGUCGUGGGCGUAGGAUAUUUGAAAGGAGCUGUCCCUAGUACGAGAGGACCGGGAUGGACGCACCUCUGGUGAACCAGUUGUCACGCCAGUGGCACGGCUGGGCAGCUAAGUGCGGAACGGAUAAACGCUGAAAGCAUCUAAGCGUGAAGCCGACCUUAAGAUAAGAUAUCCGUUCUUCGGAAUAAGACCCCUUGUAGACUACGAGGUUGAUAGGCUUAAAGUGUAAGCAUGGUGACAUGUUUAGCUUGCAAGUACUAAUCGGUCGAUUGCUUUU